GAUGAAGAACGUAGUGAAAUGCGAUAAGUAGUGUGAAUUGCAGAAUUCAGUGAAUCAUCGAAUCUUUGAACGCACAUUGCGCCCCUUGGUAUCCCGAGGGGCAUGCCUGAUCGAGCGUCAUUUCACCACUCAAGCCUGGCUUGGUGUUGGGCGACGUCCUCUUUGGGGACGCGCCUCGAAACGCUCGGCGGCGUGGCACCGGCUUUAAGCGUAGCAGAAUCUUUCGCUUUGGAAGUCGGGGCCCCGUCUGCCGGAAGACCUGCUCGCAAGGUUGACCUCGGAUCAGGCAGGGAUACCCGCUGAACUUAAGCAUAUCAAUAAGCGGAGGA
This 329-nucleotide unclassified non-coding RNA is filed under the name soil metagenome. RNAcentral describes it as "partial contains 5.8S ribosomal RNA, internal transcribed spacer 2, and large subunit ribosomal RNA". The stretch from base 1 to 120 matches the Rfam family "5.8S ribosomal RNA", at positions 35 to 154 of the family's 154-position model. The record is from RNAcentral.